Molecule: long non-coding RNA, 3286 nt
Organism: Rattus norvegicus (Norway rat)
Lineage: Eukaryota; Metazoa; Chordata; Mammalia; Rodentia; Muridae
Source: RefSeq, a predicted model, not a curated record
UGGUGUCCUCAGUUGUGCAGUGUGGGGGACAGCUCGGCCCUCACCAGCUGCAGUACGAAGCAGCUUCCCCCUACCUUACUGGAGAAUCACAGUACGAAUGGCCCUGGUUUGGGGGAUUGUGGGUGAGCUGGGCCCCAAGGGUAUGAGUACAGGAGAACUGGCUGUGCUCACGGGCCAUCUGGCGGUAUGGGCAUGGGAAAGAUGCAUCCCCACCCCUGGCCACCUGGAGCAGAUGAGAAGGCUGGCCCCGCCCUUUGCCAACUGUAACAUUCGGGAGAGCGCCCUAAACCUUGCUUUGGCAGGACAGUAGAGCUGGCCAAGGAGGUGUGAGCAGAGGAGAGCUAUGAGACUGACUAACUCAGCUGCUACCCAGCCCCUGAUCCAGGGGUGUGAGUGGGCUCAGUCCAACAUCCACCCCAUCGAUGACCUGCUGGAGCAGAACCAAAGCUGCAGGUCUCCGUGACCCAGGGCAACAGCAGGAUGUCUGAGAGGAGUCCCAGUGAGGAUCCACUCUUGAUAGUGGAGCAGAAGCCAGAGGCAUCAAACCGGACCAAUGACUCACUGCGAUAAACAUCUGCAAAUGAAGCUGUCUCGGCAGAAGGGUGUGCUGUGCUGUGUUACACACUGUUACACACACUGUGAGAUUUUGUUUUUCUUUUCAGGGAAAGGUGCAAAGGCAGAGGGUAGAUAUGGAGGGAUGAAUGUGUUGUGUUAGAAUCGUGGCUCACGUCUGGACAGACCACACCAGGCAGUGCAGUUCCUCAUGAGAGAGGUUUAUUGUGGGGGAAGGGAACUAAAUGGGUGACAGAGACAAAGGGGGAAGAGAGAGAGAAGAAAGGGCAAAGGUCAGGAAGGCUCUGCCUUGUAUUUAGGCGGUGACCUAACUGCUCUUAGGUAAAGGUGGGAGCUAAACCAAAUGAACUCUGGGAAUGUAUGGCCAUUACCAUGGCAACAGAUGCAUGGGUCCCUGUGGCCUAUGGUGACAUCGUCGUCAUCACUGGGUUUGGAGGGGAUCUGUAACCAACCACCAGGCCAGUUCCUGAUGCCAGCAGAAUGGAUGAGUGGGAUAGGUGUGCAUGAUGGGAAAUUCUCAAAGAAUCAAUAAAAAGUUUGUCUUUUAAAGCUCUUUUUAAAGAUAAACGUGGGGUCGGGGAAGUAUAUGAAUGUAAUUGCAGGGGCCCAAAGAGGCCAAAAGCAUCAGAUUCCCCCUGGAGAUGCAGUUACAGGAGGUUGUAAUCUACCUGAGACAGGUGCUGGGACCCAAACUCAGAGCCUCUGCAGAAGCAGUAGACAUUCCUGUCCACUGAACCAUUUCUUCAGCCUCUUUAAAGCAUUUAAAGCACAUUUUCUGUUAUUGUGGUUGUUGUCUAUUUUUCUGUUUGGGACACUGCUCCUUAUCACCCAGGCUGGUCCUUGUCAGCAUCCUUUAGUGCUAGGAUGACAGGAGUGGACCACCGUGCUUAGCCAUAUAUCAACAUUUGUGUAACUAUAACAGUAAAUAUUGUGGUUACUUGUCUUCUUUCCAUGACCAAAACCCCAGGCAGAAUCAGAUUGAUAGAGGGAAGGGUUUACUUUGGCUCACAGCUUAAACCUGUCAUGGUCAGGGAGGCACAGCGACAGCGGUGUGUGAACUAUAUUUAUCUCAGUCAGGAAGUAAGAGCAACCAGAGGCAGAGCCCUGUACACCGCCUCAAGGCCCACGUGCAGUGACCCACUCCCUCUCGCAAGGUCCCACCUCCUACAGCUUCCACGAGUUUCCCAAACGGUUGCACCAACUGGGGCCUACUUACUCAAACACUCAAGCAUAUGGGGGAUCUUGUAAAACUCAAACGGCAGUGGUUACACCGCAGGGCAACAUCCCUGUGGAUAUUAGUCAAAGUAGGUAUGGUGGUACGGGCCUGCACCCCAGCUCUACUGAAGAAGAUGCAGGAGGAUACCGAGUUGGAGGCAGGCCUGGGCAUGUAUCAAGACACUAUGUGAAAACCUGACUGAGUAAAAGUGUACUAUGUAACCGUGCUAAUCUGGGGAAACCGUGCAGGGUUGCUUAGAAAGAAGUAAGGCCAGAGGCAGGAAGUCCAGAUGGAAGCCUUCAGGGCGAUGAGGUACAGCAAUCGUGUGUCGGGUAUAGCAAUCUCCACCAGUCGGGAGGAGAGAACAGACUCAAAGGCAUGCACCCUACAUUUUCUCUUCUUCAUCAUGCUUUUGGGUCUUUUCACACACACACUUCUCGCAGCCAAGGUCCUUAUGGCUCUGCUCGCCUCACUAGUCAGUCCUCAAACACAGCUCAACUUGGGUGGGUGCCUUUCAAUAGCUCUUGUUCCCUUUAGUGCAAACCACACUGUGAAUGCUAAUCACAUUUAUAGCAGGCUUAUUUACCCACUGUCUUUCAAAAGACUAUAAGCUUCUAAAUAUGUAGUAGCCUAGUGUCUGGCCCCAUAGACAUAUACACAAAAAAUGGUUUAUUCAAGUGUCCUUUGAGGAACUCACCUUUCCAAGUUUGGAACAACUGUUAUACAAAUAUACAAUGUAUUUUUUUGUGUGUUUUGUUAAGAGACAAAAAUCACAGGGCUUCAAAAACGGAAGGUCGGGUCAAAAACGAAGUGGGGGCUUAAAACUCUGAGCGUUGAGCCUACUCAUUUCUUGAGUUGAGUUUAUUUCCCUUGGAAUAACCAUAGAAACGUUUAAAGAGCUUCCUUGGAGGUGGAGAGCCUUAGCCCACUACACUUCUGCAAAAUCUUCUCUGGUUUCUCUUUCAUGGUUUAAGAAUAAAUCUUGCCCUGCCCCACCUAGGCAGCUGUGACUGCCCUGAAGAAGUGAGGCCAACAAAGCAUUCUGAGCCUGGGACUCAUCAACUGCCCCUGUCACAGUAGGAGCCCAGCAGGAACACCUGACAGUGUUUACACAGGAACAUCUGGAUUCUGGAUAAAGACCGCUGCCACCCAAACCAGAAAGACCAAUAGGCUCUCUGAGAUGCUUCAAAAUCAAUAGCUCCAGCCUCACAGGCCUUCAGGACCAGCACUAAGGAUACAAAUUUAUUUUUAUUUUAUUUUUUAAAUUUGAAACAGGAUAUAUGUUUCCAUUGUUGAACUCAAACUCUUGUUGUGGAUCAAGUCGGCAAGCCUCCUUCUCCUGUCUCCCAGUGCUGGGAUCGUGAGUGAAGACCACCCUGCCUGGACAAAUAGAUCUUUCUUUAAUACUUUGUUAUCUGUUUAUGUAUGCAUGUGCAAAUAUUAAAUGUUAAAUGUAUGCAUGUUAUAAAUAAAUAAACAAAUAAAUAAAUAAAUAAA